UGCGAGUCACGUAGCAAUACGUGGCACACGGCUCAGUAACACGUAGUCAACAUAACCAAAGGACGUGGAUAAUCUCGGGAAACUGAGGCUAAACCGCGAUAGAUCAAGAUACCUGGAAUGGUUUUUGAUUAAAAUCUAUAUGGCCUUUGGAUUGGACUGCGGCCGAUCAGGCUGUUGGUGAGGUAAUGGCCCACCAAACCUAAGACCGGUACGGGCUCUGAGAGGAGAAGCCCGGAGAUGGGCACUGAGACAAGGGCCCAGGCCCUAUGGGGCGCAGCAGGCGCGAAAACUCUGCAACAGGCGAAAGCUUGACAGGGUUAUUCUGAGUGAUCUCCGUUAAGGAAAUCUUUUGGCACCUCUAAAAAUGGUGCAGAAUAAGGGGUGGGCAAGCCUGGUGUCAGCCGCCGCGGUAAUACCAGCACCCCGAGUGGUCGGGACGAUUAUUGGGCCUAAAGCAUCCGUAGCCGGUUCUACAAGUCUUCCGUUAAAUCCACCUGCUUAACAGAUGGGCUGCAGAGGAUACUAUAAAGCUAGGAGGCGGGAGAGGCAAGCGGUACUUAGUGGGUAGGGGUAAAAUCCGUUGAUCCACUGAAGACCACCAGUGGCGAAGGCGGCUUGCCAGAACGCGCUCGACGGUGAGGGAUGAAAGCUGGGGGAGCAAACCGGAUUAGAUACCCGGGUAGUCCCAGCUGUAAACGAUGCAGACUCGGUGAUGAAUAGGCUUAGUGCCUAUUCAGUGCCGCAGGGAAGCCGUUAAGUCUGCCGCCUGGGGAGUACGGUCGCAAGACUGAAACUUAA
This 798-nucleotide ribosomal RNA is filed under the name uncultured crenarchaeote. RNAcentral describes it as "bacterial SSU rRNA". It matches the Rfam family "Archaeal small subunit ribosomal RNA", at positions 52 to 859 of the family's 1478-position model. Lineage: Archaea; Thermoproteati; Thermoproteota. The record is from RNAcentral.